UACGGUAGGGUCCGAGCGUUUGUCCGGAAUUACUGGGCGUAAAGAGCUCGUAGGUGGUCUGUCGCGUCUGCUGUGAAAACUCGGGGCUUAACCCCGAGCCUGCAGUGGAUACGGGCAGACUAGAGGUAGGUAGGGGAGAAUGGAAUUCCCGGUGUAGCGGUGAAAUGCGCAGAUAUCGGGAGGAACACCGGUGGCGAAGGCGGUUCUCUGGGCCUUACCUGACGCUGAG
Molecule: ribosomal RNA, 229 nt
Filed under: uncultured bacterium
Lineage: Bacteria
Description: partial 16S ribosomal RNA
Rfam family: Bacterial small subunit ribosomal RNA
Source: RNAcentral